UAGGGAAUCUUCCACAAUGGACGAAAGUCUGAUGGAGCAACGCCGCGUGAGUGAAGAAGGUUUCCGGAUCGUAAAGCUCUGUUGUUGGUGAAGAAGGAUAGAGGCAGUAACUGGUCUUUAUUUGACGGUAAUCAACCAGAAAGUCACGGCUAACUACGUGCCAA
Molecule: ribosomal RNA, 164 nt
Filed under: uncultured bacterium
Lineage: Bacteria
Description: partial 16S rRNA
Rfam family: Bacterial small subunit ribosomal RNA
Source: RNAcentral